Molecule: ribosomal RNA, 460 nt
Filed under: uncultured bacterium
Lineage: Bacteria
Description: partial 16S ribosomal RNA
Rfam family: Bacterial small subunit ribosomal RNA
Source: RNAcentral
CCUACGGGUGGCAGCAGUGAGGAAUAUUGGUCAAUGGGCGCAAGCCUGAACCAGCCAAGUCGCGUGAGGGAUGACGGUCCUAUGGAUUGUAAACCUCUUUUGUCGGGGAGCAAGGCCCGCCACGUCUGGCGGGAAGGAGAGUACCCGACGAAAAAGCAUCGGCUAACUCCGUGCCAGCAGCCGCGGUAUUACGGGGGCUGCGAGCGUUAUCCGGAUUUAUGGGGUUUAAAGGGAGCGUUGGUGGAAUGCCAAGUCAGCGGGAAAAUCGCGGGGCUCAACCUCGCUCCGCCGUUGAAACUGGCGUUCUGGAGUGGGCGAGAGGUAUGCGGAAUGCGUGGUGUAGCGGUGAAAUGCAGAGAUAUCACGCAGAACACCGAUUGCGAAGGCAGCAUACCGGCGUCCAACUGACGCUGAAGCACGAAAGCGUGGGUAUCGAACAGGAUUAGAGACCCUUGUAGUC